Molecule: long non-coding RNA, 555 nt
Filed under: Panax ginseng (ginseng)
Lineage: Eukaryota; Viridiplantae; Streptophyta; Magnoliopsida; Apiales; Araliaceae
Description: long non-coding RNA (PGIN_LNC003349)
Source: RNAcentral
UAACGGAUCCUUCAUCCCUUCUCUCCUUCCAAAUCGCAGGCUUCUCUUCUGUUCCUUCACCUUCUCUGUUCGCAGGCUUCUCUCUUCUCUCCUUCACCUUCUAUUCUCUGUAAUACCCCUUACCUUUCUCUGUAUCGCGGACCACCGCUGGAGCCUUUACUUGAAGCGGCGGAGUACUACCUCUCUCAGCGCAAGAGAGAGAAGAAGAGGAAGAAGAGGCGGUGGAGGCGACGAUGGUGGUGGAAGAAGAGAGAGAAGAAGAGGAAGAAGAGGCGGUGGAGGAGGCGGUGGUGGUGGAAGAAUAGAGAGAAGAAGAGGAGGUGGAGGUGGAGGUGGCGGUGGAAGAAGAGAGAAAAGAAGAGGCGGUGGAGGAGGUGGAGGCGCCGGUGGUGGUGGAAGAAGAGAGAGAAGAAGGAGGAAGAAUUGAUUUAAUGAAAUGAAAAAAUGUUUUAUUUUUAUUAGUUUUUGUUUUGUUUUAUUAUGUUUUUGUCAUUUUUAUAACAUUUUUAAAAAUGUUAAAAAUGAGUUAAAAAUAAAUUUUUAUUAUUAUUUUCA